Molecule: ribosomal RNA, 254 nt
Filed under: uncultured bacterium
Lineage: Bacteria
Description: partial 16S ribosomal RNA
Rfam family: Bacterial small subunit ribosomal RNA
Source: RNAcentral
GACGUAGGGGGCAAGCGUUGUCCGGAUUUAUUGGGCGUAAAGAGCUCGUAGGCGGCUUGGCAAGUCGGGUGUGAAAACUCCAGGCUCAACCUGGAGAGGCCACUCGAUACUGCCAUGGCUAGAGUCCGGUAGGGGCGCACGGAAUUCCCGGUGUAGCGGUGAAAUGCUUAGAUAUCGGGAGGAACACCAGUGGCGAAGGCGGUGCGCUGGGCCGGAACUGACGCUGAGGAGCGAAAGCGUGGGGAGCGAACAGG